CGCACGGGUGAGUAACGCGUAUGCAACCUACCCUUUACUGGGGGAUAGCCCGAAGAAAUUCGGAUUAAGUACCUCAUAAUAUUAUUCUUUCACCUGAAGGAAUAAUUAAAACUCCGGUGGUAAAGGAUGGGCAUGCGUGACAUUAGGUAGUUGGUAAGGUAACGGCUUACCAAGCCUACGAUGUCUAGGGGGCCUGAGAGGGUAGUCCCCCACACUGGUACUGAGACACGGACAG
This 235-nucleotide ribosomal RNA is filed under the name uncultured bacterium. RNAcentral describes it as "partial 16S ribosomal RNA". It matches the Rfam family "Bacterial small subunit ribosomal RNA", at positions 99 to 334 of the family's 1533-position model. The record is from RNAcentral.